This 255-nucleotide ribosomal RNA is filed under the name uncultured bacterium. RNAcentral's name for it is "partial 16S ribosomal RNA". It matches the Rfam family "Bacterial small subunit ribosomal RNA", at positions 524 to 776 of the family's 1533-position model. The record is from RNAcentral.
UACGUAGGUGGCGAGCGUUGUCCGGAUUUAUUGGGCGUAAAGCGCGCGCAGGCGGUGCGGUAAGUCUGUCGUGAAAUCUCCCGGCUCAACUGGGAGGGUGCGGUGGAGACUGCCGGACUGGAGGCACUCAGAGGCCGGUGGGAAAUUUCCCGGUGUAGUGGUGAAAUGCGUAGAGAUCGGGAGGGAAACACCCAGUGGCGAAGGCGGCCGGCUGGUGACCUGACGCUGAGGCGCGAAGCGUGGAGCGAAACCCGG